RNAcentral lists this ribosomal RNA (717 nucleotides) under uncultured Bacilli bacterium. RNAcentral describes it as "bacterial SSU rRNA". It matches the Rfam family "Bacterial small subunit ribosomal RNA", at positions 66 to 752 of the family's 1533-position model. Lineage: Bacteria; Bacillati; Bacillota; Bacilli. The record is from RNAcentral.
ACGAAACUUUCUUACACCGAAUGCUUGCAUUCACCGUAAGAAGUUGAGUGGCGGACGGGUGAGUAACACGUGGGUAACCUGCCUAAAAGAAGGGGAUAACACUUGGAAACAGGUGCUAAUACCGUAUAUCUCUAAGGAUCGCAUGAUUCUUAGAUGAAAGAUGGUUCUGCUAUCGCUUUUAGAUGGACCCGCGGCGUAUUAACUAGUUGGUGGGGUAACGGCCUACCAAGGUGAUGAUACGUAGCCGAACUGAGAGGUUGAUCGGCCACAUUGGGACUGAGACACGGCCCAAACUCCUACGGGAGGCAGCAGUAGGGAAUCUUCCACAAUGGACGCAAGUCUGAUGGAGCAACGCCGCGUGAGUGAAGAAGGUCUUCGGAUCGUAAAACUCUGUUGUUAGAGAAGAACACGAGUGAGAGUAACUGUUCAUUCGAUGACGGUAUCUAACCAGCAAGUCACGGCUAACUACGUGCCAGCAGCCGCGGUAAUACGUAGGUGGCAAGCGUUGUCCGGAUUUAUUGGGCGUAAAGGGAACGCAGGCGGUCUUUUAAGUCUGAUGUGAAAGCCUUCGGCUUAACCGGAGUAGUGCAUUGGAAACUGGAAGACUUGAGUGCAGAAGAGGAGAGUGGAACUCCAUGUGUAGCGGUGAAAUGCGUAGAUAUAUGGAAGAACACCAGUGGCGAAAGCGGCUCUCUGGUCUGUAACUGACGCUGAGGU